AUUCAAAGGAGUACCAACUAAAGUUAAGGCUAAGAAAGGGAAGUGAAGAAGGACUUUUAAGAGCUCUUUCUUGAUUAUUCUCUAAAGUCUUAGAAGGAUUCUAUUCUAAUAUGUCUAUAUGUUAUUUUGUAGGGUCCAAUAAGGCUAGAACACCAUGGACCAACCCAACCUAAGGAGAAGGGUAAAAGAGACAUUUUCCACAAAGGGAGGGGGGUGAAUUUAUCAAAUAGGGAGCUGCCCAAGAAGANUUCACAUGUUUCACCAUCACGGCAUCUGAUACGUGAUUUGGUAGAAACAUUGUUGCACCUCCAUGCAUCUGCAUUGCUUCACCAAGAAGAAUGACAUACAUUCCUCACCGUUGCCACGUGGGAAGAUCCGCAUCUCUUUAGCUGCCAUCUCCACCGUCCAUAGCAUAGGAUUUGCUUUAUAAAUAUGAAUGUAUCAGAUUAUGAUAGUACCUUUGAUUUGAAUGAAGAAUUAUUCUGUUGAUAUCUGUCCNGAAAUUUCUUCUNGUUGAAGGUCACCGAGAGAGAGCUUGAGAGUUUCCUCUAGCCUCUCUCCCUAGCUAGGCUUCCAUUCCUAGCAUAUCUCUAUCCAUCCGCAUCACAUUUCAGCAUCCAAACCUCCUCUNCAUCAACUUUAUCUUCAUCCNCGAGUCUUCCAUUUGCUUUCAUCUAGCNACCAACACCGUUUAAAUAGUGGUUUCCANAAUUUCUGCUUCCUACGGUCAUCAUCAUCAUAAUUCAACUUAUUCCGCUNCAUUACAUCAUCAUUUUGAGUCACGUAUAACCGUUCAGAGAAGAAGAUCUGGUUGAUUGCUUCCACCUCCAGAAUCAGCCAAAUCGUUCUUCCAUCAUGUGGUAUCAGAGCUGUGGUCGUCCACGCAUCCAUAGCUAAGUGUUCUUCUAUUUUCUGCUCCAAUUUUUCAUUCUACUCAUGCUCUCUGUUUCCAGUCCCUGUUUCAUUCUUUUUGUUUCUGUUUUGGUACUUAAAUUGUGAUUCCAGUUCUGAUUCCUGUAUUUCCAUUGUGUCUUCAUGUUGUUUUUAUCAUUUUAAACGGUGAAUAUCCAUUGCUUGAGUCAUUUUUAGCUUCAAUUUUCAAUUUUCGUAUUGUCUAAGUCAUGUGCAUCUCAUAGUUGCAAUUUUAAUUUUGUUUCUGUUUGGUUACUGAUUCAGCGUGUUUAAUUCGUUUUAAUUGAGUGUCAAGUGCUAAACCAGUGUAUAUAUACCAAAUAAGGCAAUGAAGACUAGAUCUAGCCUUGGUAAUACAAGCUGAAGCACUAAAAGCAAAUCUGCUGUGGUUUCCGUUUGAAAUUCUGAUGCAGAAUUCCAUUUCUGGUUUCAAUUUUUAAAUCUGUUUCAAGUUGCUUUUAAUUGAUUCUACUAAUUUGCACAAGUUUGGUUGAUGUUGUUGAAUGAUGCUAAAAGUGUAGCAAACCAUUACAAGCAAUGAAAUGCAAUUUGCAUAGCUUGGUUGUGCAUAAACACUAGCAUUUUACUGUUUCAGCUUUAUUUUCCAGCUUUUCACCGUGCUAAACAUCCUUGAGUGGUUCAUUUUGAGUUUGGUCAUGCUAAGCUUCUUAAUCCUUGCUUAGUUCUGUAUGUUUACACUUUCUUGAGUUAAUUCAUGGUUGUCCAGCCUUUGAAUCUUUGUAAAAUUGAAUUUGGAUGGUUUGAUGAAGCAUUUUACUGCAUAAAUGGUACAACAGUAGUAAAAUUCGAAAAUAUGCCACUUCUUUGCUGUUUUAUAGCUUGAGCAAGUUUCAAUUGAUGGUUCAAAGUUGCUAGUACUGUUCAUUUGGUCAAAACAUGACUUAUAUGCAAAUUUGCAUUUGAAACCAUCAAUAUUUGGGUAAAAAUGGAAGUGGAAUGAUGAUUUUGAGUUGCCAACAGAUUAUACUUCAUUUUAAAGUUUAAACACAUUCAAAAUCAUCAAUCAAAGUUGCUUGAACUGUUAGUUGUGAGUUUAAAACAAUUCCACACAAAAGUGGAAAUCAAACCACCAAAAUCAACCCAUUUUUCUGGUGCAGUCACGGGUUGCAGCUGCUGUUUGGUAUUUUUCUGUGCAAAUUUCAUUUUGGAUUGCAGCAAGAGCUAGUUCAAUGCUUAAAAAUGAAAAUAAAUGAUAAAAAAAAAGUAAUAUCAAGUUUUAGAAAGCUUAUAGAACCGUGCAAUCCAGAUUACAAGCCCUGAAAUUCAAAAUCUCAAAAUCUGAAAUUCUUUUGGGCAUUUCAUCAAACACUUUUAGAAAUUUAUCAAACAGUUUGUCUGGUUGCAUUUGUGAACUGUCUUUGAUUUUUUCUUGCUUUAUUCAUUUACUCUAGUGCCAUUAUUAGGUUCCUUUUGAGUGCUUGUUGUUAUUCCAUCCCUGUUUCCAUUUGAUUUCCUCAUUCUUGGCUUCCAAAUUGUCAAACAUUCAAAAAUCUGGUUUGAAAUUCUGGUGCAGUUUGUUAAUUCUGUUUGGUGCUGUUUAGAUGCCUAUUGGUGCAGAUUUUGUGCUAGGGUGAUUGCUCAUGCUAGUGGUAGCAUCUUGAGGGGUGGAAACUUGUAUAGCUCUUGAUCUAAGUGCCUCUACAGCAAGGAAAAAUAUCUUACUAAAACACUAUUCUGCAGUGAGAAAAAGAGUGAAAAAUUGGCAACUCCUAUAGCCAAAUUUUGAGAGGCCACCUCCCUAUCAAAGUGAAUGAAAGAUUGAGUGAUUGGAACCUAAAAGAAACUUGCUAGAGGAGAGCCAACACCCUAAAAAAGUUCAGAAAUCUUUGUUGUUUGACAUGUUGCAGCUAUGAUUUGAAAGAGCAAUGUACAAUUGGCUGCAGCAGUGGAAACUGUGAAUUUUGAAUCAAUGACAGCAUAGUCCAACACCGUGACAAGCAGCAAGCAAACUUUCCAAUCCAGCUCAUCCUGCAGCACGUGUAAUUGACAACAAAGUCAUUAAACCGUGGAAAACCUUGAACCAUUGGCUGCAACAGUGAGAAACUGGAUGAACACCAACCUAUGCUGUUUGAUGAGAAUUGGAUACCUGGUGCAGCAGAUUACCAAUUGAGAGCAAACUGAAUCCAUUCUGCACAUCAAUUGUGCAAAGCCAAGAGCAAAAGGGAAGAGUUUUAAUUUUGUUUUGCAGCUUUAUGGUAAUACCGUUGACCGUAUACUGAAUUUGGUGUACACUCUUUGUGUAGUUUAUCCUUGGAAAGCAAAAGGAAUUUUACUGCAUCAAGGGCACAAGGCCGAGAAGAAAUCUUUCCUUACUAGCAAUCAAUAUCUCCAUAUCCUCAAGAAACUCAAGGAACCACGCUGCUAGGAUCANAUGUAUCUGGUCUGCAUCAGAAAGUUGGACAAACCGUGACAGCAACACUUUAGCUUGUUUGUUUAUUUUGUUUUUGAAUUUGUAAUAGGUUUUUCUUAUGUUAGUUUCAUUUAUUUGUAAAAGGCCAUUNAAAGUCCAAGUGGUGUGAAAGAGUCCUUGGUGCUCUUUCAACUCUUGGCAAGUGUUCUUGUUUGAUUUGUGCUUGUGUUUAAAUUCUUGUUUUCACAUGUUUAGGAGUGACUUGGGAUACAAAAGUUCAAACUCUAAGCCAUGUCACAUUAGGUGUUCGAAAUUAGAAGUCUAGGUGUUUUUAACUUUCUUUUUGUUUGUUUGAGUCCAUUUUUAAAUUCAAUAGUGAAUCUUACUUUGAAAA
Long non-coding RNA from Vigna radiata var. radiata (mung bean), 3677 nucleotides. RefSeq lists it as uncharacterized. The transcript is spliced from 2 exons. Lineage: Eukaryota; Viridiplantae; Streptophyta; Magnoliopsida; Fabales; Fabaceae. The record is from RefSeq and is a predicted model, not a curated record.